CGCAUGCCGCGGGAGGAAUGUGUGGUGUAGCGGUGAAAUGCAUAGAUAUCACACAGAACACCGAUUGCGAAGGCAUCCCGCGAAUGCGACAUCGACGCUGAGGCACGAAAGUGUGGGGAUCGAACAGGAUUAGAUACCCUGGUAGUCCACGCCGUAAACGAUGAUGACUGUCCGUUUGUCCCGCAAGGGGUGAGUGGAGAAGGGAAACCGAUAAGUCAUCCACCUGGGGAGUACGGCCGCAAGGCUGAAACUCAAAGGAAUUGACGGGGGCCCGCACAAGCGGAGGAACAUGUGGUUUAAUUCGAUGAUACGCGAGGGACCUUACCCGGGAUUGAACGCAGGGGGACGUAUCCGGAAACGGAUAUUCCCUUCGGGGCCGGCAUGGAGGUGCUGCAUGGUUGUCGUCAGCUCGUGCCGUGAGGUGUCGGCUCAAGUGCCAUAACGAGCGCAACCCUCAUUUCCAGUUGCCAUCGGGUUAUGCCGGGGACUCUGGAGAGACUGCCGUCGUAAGAUGCGAGGAAGGGGGGGAUGACGUCAAAUCAGCACGGCCCUUACGUCCGGGGCUACACACGUGUUACAAUGGGGGAUACAGAGCGUUGCCACCCGGUGACGGGGCGCCAAUCGUGAAAGUCCCUCCCAGUUCGGACUGGAGUCUGCAACCCGACUCCACGAAGCUGGAUUCGCUAGUAAUCGCGCAUCAGCCAUGGCGCGGUGAAUACGUUCCCGGGCCUUGUACACACCGCCCGUCAAGCCAUG
Molecule: ribosomal RNA, 756 nt
Filed under: uncultured bacterium
Lineage: Bacteria
Description: partial 16S ribosomal RNA
Rfam family: Bacterial small subunit ribosomal RNA
Source: RNAcentral